AUUAACCUCAAACCCUAAACAACAAAACAGAGAUGUUUUCGAGAAUCCAGGAAGAGAUCAAAAAAUAAUUUUAAACAUUUUAACUCAUAAGCAUUCAAAGAGGCCAAGACAGCCAACAACAACAGGAUUCAAAACCCAAAAGAAGAAGGAAGAAUAGAAGAAGGCGAAAAAGAUUUAAAAAGAGGAGAAGAACUUAUCUCUACAAGCGACGAAAAGCUCACGUCGUCGGACGCAACUCAGGCCAAGUAGUCCUUCUUCUUUCCUUUCCUUGCUUUAAAUCCAUAUGCUUCUUGUUCGUUACUGCAAAAUAAUUAAAACCCCUAUAUUAAUUGCUUCAAACUGUGACUAUUAAAGGUUGAAUCGCAAAUUUAGGUUUAGGUUUUUUUUCUUAUUUUCUUACCGCCGAUCCGGUUGAUUGAAGCGGAUUUUGAAAAAACUGAGGCCGAGUUUGGAAUCUCCGGCCAAAAAUAAGUGGGAUUCGUGUUUUAAAGUUUGGGUUUGGGGUGAAGAGUCGCCGGAGAAGAGGGCGCCGCCGCCGCGGUUGGCCGGCCGCCACCGUCUUCUCCGGCAGGUUUGGUCGUGAGGAGAGUGACGACGAAGAAGAAGAAGUUGCAGAGCAACUUUAUUUCAGAAGUGAAGAGAGAGAACGAGAGGAGCAAAUGAGACUCUCU
Molecule: long non-coding RNA, 671 nt
Filed under: Lathyrus oleraceus (garden pea)
Lineage: Eukaryota; Viridiplantae; Streptophyta; Magnoliopsida; Fabales; Fabaceae
Description: Pisum sativum (pea) long non-coding RNA (PSAT_LNC008125)
Source: RNAcentral